UGAGGAAUAUUGGUCAAUGGGCGAGAGCCUGAACCAGCCAAGUAGCGUGCAGGAUGACGGCCCUACGGGUUGUAAACUGCUUUUAUGUGGGGAUAAAGUGCGUGACGUGUCAUGCAUUGCAGGUACCACAUGAAUAAGGACCGGCUAAUUCCGUGCCAGCAGCCGCGGUAAUACGGAAGGUCCGGGCGUUAUCCGGAUUUAUUGGGUUUAAAGGGAGCGUAGGCUGUCUAUUAAGCGUGUUGUGAAAUUUACCGGCUCAACCGGUGGCUUGCAGCGCGAACUGGUCGACUUGAGUAUGCAGGAAGUAGGCGGAAUUCAUGGUGUAGCGGUGAAAUGCUUAGAUAUCAUGACGAACUCCGAUUGCGCAGGCAGCUUACUGUAGCAUAACUGACGCUGAUGCUCGAAAGUGCGGGUAUCAAACAGG
RNAcentral lists this ribosomal RNA (424 nucleotides) under Fusobacteriota bacterium. RNAcentral's name for it is "Fusobacteria bacterium partial 16S ribosomal RNA". It matches the Rfam family "Bacterial small subunit ribosomal RNA", at positions 355 to 776 of the family's 1533-position model. Lineage: Bacteria; Fusobacteriati; Fusobacteriota. The record is from RNAcentral.